UACAGAGGAGCCAAGCGUUGUCUGGAUUGACUGGGCGUAAAGCGCACGCAGGCGGAUGCGCGCGUGGGGUGUGAAAUCUGGCCGCUUAACGGCCAGGCGCCAUCCCAUACGGCGCGUCUGGAGUGAUGCAGAGGUCGAUGGAAUUGCCGGUGUAGUGGUGAAAUGCGUAGAGAUCGGCAGGAACACCCAGGGGGAAACCAGUCGACUGGGCAUCUACUGACGCUGAGGUGCGAGAGCGUGGGGAGCGAACCGG
RNAcentral lists this ribosomal RNA (253 nucleotides) under uncultured bacterium. Its description in RNAcentral is "partial 16S ribosomal RNA". It matches the Rfam family "Bacterial small subunit ribosomal RNA", at positions 524 to 776 of the family's 1533-position model. The record is from RNAcentral.